Molecule: long non-coding RNA, 33856 nt
Filed under: Triticum aestivum (bread wheat)
Lineage: Eukaryota; Viridiplantae; Streptophyta; Magnoliopsida; Poales; Poaceae
Description: long non-coding RNA (TAES_LNC010528)
Source: RNAcentral
UUUUUUUUUUUGGUUUUCUCUUUCCUGCUAGCGGUGCAUGCAACAGUAGGCUGGCUCGGGUAUUUGCCCUGCACAAUAGUACCUGCUGGGAACCCAGCAGGUGAGCCGAACCCGGCUGGCUCUCUUAUAGGUGUUUGAACUUUCCUGGUUCUGUUAUUUGCACUUUUGCGCCAGGACACUUUUUUUUGUCCUUUUGUUCGAUGUUCCGUUAUCUAGUGGAACCCGGUUCAAUAUGGAUCGAAUAUGAAACAAAGACCAUCAAACCGUUUACUUGCACAUGUUUUUUUUAGUUGUUCACCCGCACACAUGCUAGGAUGAAAUACUUUACUUUGUGAGCGAGUACGCGUGAGUUCAGCUAGCUACGAUCUCAGAUCUGGAUCUUGCCCGGCUGUAUGGGUAUCGCGUUGUGUUGGUAUACAUACCCUAGCCAUUUAACGAACGAAAUCAAUGGGUCAUUAGCGUCACACCAUCNNNNNNNNNNNNNNNNNNNNNNNNNNNNNNNNNNNNNNNNNNNNNNNNNNNNNNNNNNNNNNNNNNNNNNNNNNNNNNNNNNNNNNNNNNNNNNNNNNNNNNNNNNNNNNNNNNNNNNNNNNNNNNNNNNNNNNNNNNNNNNNNNNNNNNNNNNNNNNNNNNNNNNNNNNNNNNNNNNNNNNNNNNNNNNNNNNNNNNNNNNNNNNNNNNNNNNNNNNNNNNNNNNNNNNNNNNNNNNNNNNNNNNNNNNNNNNNNNNNNNNNNNNNNNNNNNNNNNNNNNNNNNNNNNNNNNNNNNNNNNNNNNNNNNNNNNNNNNNNNNNNNNNNNNNNNNNNNNNNNNNNNNNNNNNNNNNNNAUAGUCCUCUCCUCGAGUACUAGUACUACGUCGCGUGCCACGCUCGGUGCAUCCGUGCAUGCAUGGUCUGUACGUGCAUGCAACAUCGCCACCUCCGUAUGGAUCUCUCUUUAAUUUUCGUCAGCAAAGAUGAUCCGUGCCCGUGCCCAGGAACGUGCUGUCCUAGCAAGCCUCGUGGGCCCACAGUAUCUGUACGAGCGAUCUUAUCAGCGGCGCUCCCGAACGGACGGCGAGAUCUCCUCCCCGGGCGCCAUGUCACCUCGCCACCGGGUCAGGGAAUCAGGAUAGCCCUAUCCGGAAGCGGCCGCGUGGCGCCCUCCCUAUGGGCCUCCGCCGCGCGCAGCCUCUCCCACACAAACCUCAUCGACGGCCAGCCGUUUCAAAUCCUUAACAGCAUCCACGAUCUAAGCGUGUGCACGUACGCCGCAGCUCCAGAACCAGGACACGCCCACUGUAUACGCAGUCGCACAGCUCGAUCGCAAUGGCGUCGCUCGUCGCCGUCCAGCCGGUCGCCGUGAGGGGCCUGGCCGGCAGCUCCAUCUCCGGCCGCAAGCUCGCCGUCCGGCCCUCCUCCGCCGCCGUCUCCCGCUCCACCCGCAGGUACUUUACUUUACACACGACUUAAUAAACAUAUGACACACCAUGCACGCACCGAGAGCAACAGAGCGUGACCAGCUCCGGCACAUGGACGCAGGGCUCGCGGGGCGGCGGUGGUGGCCAAGUACGGGGAGAAGAGCGUCUACUUCGACCUGGACGACAUCGCCAACACGACGGGGCAGUGGGACCUGUACGGCAGCGACGCCGCGUCGCCCUACAACGGCCUGCAGAGCAAGUUCUUCAACACCUUCGCCGCGCCCUUCACCAAGCGGGGGCUGCUGCUCAAGGUGCUGCUGCUCGGCGGCGGCUCGCUGCUCGCCUACGUCAGCGCCACCGCCUCCCCCGACCUGCUCCCCAUCAAGAAGGGGCCCCAGCUGCCGCCCACCCCGGGACCACGCGGCAAGAUCUAAAGCUCUGCAAUCAAGGCCUUCUUCCUCCUCCCGCCUCGCCUCGUGCUUGUGUACCAUGGAUCUCGUCGAUUCCCCCCUUAUCUAUGUGCUUGCUCUGUUGAUACUUGAUCUUUGUACUUUGUAUCAGUAAUUGGAAAGAUGCUGCGUGCAUGGUGCAUGCAAUUAUUAGAUCAUGGUUUUUGUACCAUGUUUUUGCUAUACUGGCGGUUUAAAUUACUUGUCACUCUAGCCAAUACGUAUUGUCCGGCCGGCCGGCCUACUCACGGCUCUACGUGCACAGCUGCACACGUACAUACUCCCUCCGUGCGUCGAAACUACUGUCCAUUUUUGCGACAAAUAAUUCAGGACCGAGGGAGUACUUACUAACAGUUGCUGCUGCUGCCGGCGGGAAAUUAGAUCUUAACACACUUGUUUCGUUAAUGUCUGAUAAAUACCAUCAAUCAUGCAUUGCGUCGGCGAUUUAUGCAAAAAUCCAACUGACAUUAUAACACUCCUAGAAGACACUGGAAAGGAUACGCUUAACAAGCAUUGCAUGGAAAACAGGGUCUGGAAGAGGUCGAGGUUAACUAGUAUAGAAGUGGGCUAGAAAACUACAUGUCCAUUUGUCAGGCUCAAGUGUGAAAAAUCUCAUGAUUAUUUAGCUCAUGUAGAACAGGGGGUCCACUCUUCAGCAGCACAUCAUCUUGGCCUCCGCACCAAAUUUCCAUUGGGGGUCGAACGCAAUGGAGAUACAGACAGGCGUCCGAAAGCUUACAUAAACCUCACAAGUCACAGUGCACCUUGAUCACAAUGCUCUGAACACAUAUUUACAUCCAUUUCACUCCGAAUGAUCUGGCACAUAUGUCUUCCCCCACCCCACCUCCCCGCCACCCCCGCAACCCCCUACGGCAGCGUGCCACUAGUGUCUAGAUAUGGGGCUCCGUGCUCCGCCCAGGUUCUCAAGCUUGUCCAGGUAGGAGUACCUCUUGGUGCCGAUCUUGGAGAUCUUGCUCAGCUUCUUACCUUGGGGAUCCUGCGACCCUAGUAUCAUGGUCUCGAUGGUGCCGUCCCGGGGCCCCACGUAGUCGAACAAUGUCGAGUUAACCGGCUCCAUCCUUCCCAGCCUCCCCAUCUCGUCCUUGGCGUCUUGGACCACUGUGUCUGUGUCGUCGGUUGUUAAGCUCGGCAUCCUCAUUGAGUCCCCAUUCUUGGGGUCUUGGGCGAGGGCGUCGGCGUGGAGAACGUCUUCGAUGCGGGACAUUACGGUGUAGGCUAGGCUCUCAAGCGUCCUUGAGUAGCUCUCCAGAAUGGCACUCCCAACAUCCUGCAAAAACAACACGGAAACACAAAUGUAUGUAGUUGGCAUUAGUAAUUAAAAGGGUACUGUAGCAAUUCCGAAAACACAGUGAAAAAUUGUAGGUACCUUGUUGUACUGGAUUUUGCUGAUGUCCAGAGCUGAUUGGGAAAUCCCUGGAAAUCUGUGCUUGAGGAGGAGAAGAACGUUCUCUGCCCUCCCCUCAAAUCGGCCCCGCUUCUCGUGGCUGACGCCAUGGCCCCACUUGCCGUCCCUCUGCAUUUUCUUUUGCCAAAUGACGACCGAUGCUUCGAUCCGGUUCUUCAGAUCAACAAUGUUGUACUCGUUCGACAGGUCUACCGUUGCUAUGAGUUCUUCGGGGUCGAAAUAAUCGUCAGUUAUAAGCUUGUACAUCGAGUCCCCGAGGGUAGAUUUCCCAUUCUACCAAGCAUAAGAAUAAGAGGAUUUUGUUAUGUGAGAUCACAAUAAUGUAGUCAAGCAAGGUAAAUGUAAUUGCUGUAUAAUAACGUCCUUGUGUUCUUAUGGAUUACCUUAGGCAGAGUCUCCAUGUAAGCUUCUGGAAUAUCCAUCUCCAUGAGAACAUUAGCAUUGAUGGCCAUUGUUGCCUUCAAGACUUGGUUGACAAGCUCCUUCUGGUGAUGAAGCCAUCUCCUCGUCGAGUCUGACAGACCCUCGGGAGGGACCUUGACCGUCGGGAGCCACCACUUGUCACUCUGCUCCGCUGGGUCACCCUUCUCGGAUUCAUUGUCAUUUUUCUUCACAUACCAAAACUCCUGCUUGUCGCUGAAACUAUCGAGAUAGUCCUGUUCGACAUCAGAAACGUGCAGCGGCAACAAAUUAGCAACUCAGGUAUCUUCACAUCAAUCCCGUAAACAAUUCAGAGAAGGGUGUGGAAUUUUAUAUUACAAGGAGCAUUCCGUCAAGCUUGCGCAAUGCCGGGACGUUCAUCAGCAGAUCUCUGCGUUGCUGAGUUAUCAUAACCUGCUUGUCAAAAAGAAUAAAAAUGUACUAUUGUAAUUAGUUGUAAUUCGAUUUGCAUAAUGAGGUUGCAUAGUACGGGCCCUAAGCAAGGCAAAAAAAAGUGUGACCGCCUAUAAGGUUCCAAUAGGCACGUCCCACAUUGUACUUCUUCACUAGUUGUGCAACUGAAAUACUUUUCCCACAAAAAAAAACUGAAAUAUAAUAACAAAAUAUUUUUUCUUUGUAGGACCUCCAAAGCAACAUAACCAACCAUGUGUGAUGAAAAUAAGGGUAGGGGAUUCGUUUCUGACCUCCAUGGUGCUGCCAUCCUCGGCCACCUGGCGUGAAGGAACGAACUCGACGAUGAAAUCGGCGACGGAGAGAAGCCAGUCGAUCUCCUUUGUCCACCGAGCCUUCUGCUCAGGGGCCAUCGGUUGGAGACGCCGCUGCUCACCGAACACGGAAGCUGCAACGGCGUGCCACCACGAGAAGGAAUACAUAACUGGUAAGAAUUUCCACAAGAAACCAACCACGAAUUGAAAUGAUUUGAAAUCCAGAAAUCAUGCAUCAAGCACGUGAUAGAGCUCCCGAUUUAGUCGUGCAUGUACCCAUUGCGAGGUCUACGAUUGUAUGGUGUACAAAAAGGUUGUUUUCUCAUCCGCAAAAAAAGAGAGGAUGUUUUCACCAAUUUCCACUAAAUUAUUUUGAGGAUCAAAAUCAUUUAAGCCAUUACUUUUGUUUGGAAUUUGUAGUGACAAGUAGAGUAUAUACUAGUAGGCCAGGUUAUGCACAUUGUGCACAUUGGGUGAUGUACUCUCAUUUAUUAGACCGAUUUUUUGACACACCAAAAAUUGCUUUAAUUUAGCUCGCACUAGCAGGGCCAGCCGUGGACACCAUUCACGAAAUGGAAAGGGAAAGAUUUGAUACGAAAUUGAGUGAUUAGCUGCUAGAUUGGUGAUGGCACAAAAAUGGAAACAUAUAUUGGAAAGAAAAGGGAGUGAUUACCUGCAAGAUUGGUGAUGGCAUUGGACAGAGCAAGAGCCGAGGAGACUCCUUUGCCGCUGCCGGACAUGUCCUCCCCCAGCAGCAGCUUGGAGAACUUCUCCUUCACCAUGUCCAUGUCUGCAACCGAUCGACCACCACCGGAGCAAUUCAUUCGUCGAUCGAACAAGGCCGCAUUGAUCGACCACGCUAGCUAGAAAUCAACAGUGAUCACGCACGCACGCACCUGAUGGCGGGCCCUCCGGCCGGGGCGCGGGCUUGGGGGGCGGCGCGGCCGAGGUGGACGGCCUGGGCGCGUCGGACGGGCCGCCGGCGAGCGGCGCCGGGAUGAGGUCGACCGACAGCUUGCCCCUGGACCCGCAGCUGCUCCGGGAGAGCAUCCGCCUGGCGCACGGCAGCGUCUGGGUCUUGGUCGACGGCUCCAUCGUCGGGCUCCCAGGGUCGAGGACCACGUCCUCCGACGACGCCGAGGACGACACCGACGAGAGCGGCGACGAGGGCGUCGACGACGCCUUGCCCGACUUGCGCCGCCUGAAGGAGAACCUGGAGUCGCGGCCGUGCCCGGUCUUGAGGAACGGUGGCGCCAUCACGCGCUCAUCGCCGCCAGUCACCACCGCAUUACGCACGCACGUACGCCGACGCACGCGGGCCGGCCGAGGUCAGGCGGGCAGAGAGAGGGAGGGAGGGAAGGGAACGCCGGCCGUCCGUCCGUCCGUCCGUCCGACCUCGCGCCCCCGCGCGCGCGAGAGAGAUGGGAGGAGGGAUGUCCGGUGGCUGGCUGGCGCGUGGGCGUGGCUGGCUGUCUGGCUAGAUUCGGGGGAGGGCGGUUUUGCGAGGGAGGCGAGGAGAGGAAAGGGGGGAGGCGAUGUCGCGCGCGGCGUGCCCGUGGAUGAUGGAUGGCGCGAGCUGCAGGCGCCGCGGGAAAUGGGUCCGUUUUGUGUGUGUGUUGUGUCGUCCGUUUUAUCGUUGGGGGUGUACGCUGCUAUUUUUAAUCUCACUCGCCCGUGGUUACUUUUCUCCAUCUCGGUUGGUGCUUAAUUAGCACGUGCUGCUCUUAGGAGUACAGCUUAACAGUACUUGGGGUCGCAUCACGGUGAACUAUAAAAGCUCAGUGUUUUUAAGAUGUGAUGGCUUCUUUUUUCGGCCCCUCUUCGAGCACCGGGGGAAACCCUAUGUACGAUUCAUCGGAUUGGACGGUGACAACGUCACGGUACUGUUUUCAUUCACGAAGGCGGAGCGAAGACAAUUUAUAGUUUCAAUACCAGGAAACUUAAGCAUUUCACAAAAGAUGCAAGAGGGUUUUUCUGGGGGGCGCUACAAGCUGGUUUGCAAAUUGCGCGGGUUUCUACUCAUUUCUGAAAUAAGGACGUCUUGGCAAAGAUGAUGACAUGUUGUGUGAUCGUACACAAUAUGAUCAUCAAGGAUGAGAGAAUAUGCCAAGCCCCGUCGAUUAUGAAAAUAUUGAGGCCUUGUAGGUACACAAACUACUUUCAAACAUUGCUUCAGCCGUACCGAAAGAUUGAAAACCGGGCCUCCUAUGAUCAGCAAAAGGAGGAUCUCAUUGAGUACCAUCGGCAACUAGCUGAGAGAUAGUGUUUUUUAAUUCCUUGAAGAUUUAUUUGUUUUUACUUGAUUUUUUUCAUUUGAUUAUUUGUUGUAUUGAGGUUAUUUGUUCAUUUGCAUUAUUUAUAUACGUAUUAAUGGUUUCUAAUAAUAUGUGUUGAAUUGUGAAUUGUUUGAUCUAAAUUGGAGGAGCCGAGUAUAUAGAUGAAAAAAGAAAUAAAUGUGAAUGGUGCAUUAUGGCAACUCUGUGUUUGUGCACAGCCUCUGCAGCUUCCAGAAAAACUAUGGAGCGAGCUCCAUAUGUGCCGUGGAGGUUGUGAAUAUGCUAGAAUUGCUCUUAGGCUAGCUUUUAUCCAUGUGUAGUGUAAGAUCAACUCUUGCAGAGUAGCCAAACUAUGCGCAAACGUAAAGUCGUCAUAUGUGGCUUCAUAUUUUUCUUUGGUUCUUAUGUGCACUCAACGACAUUUAAAUAUUAAUCCGAAAAAAUAAACCAAAUUAAUAAAUAAUCUGAGACAAAUUGUUCAAGUAAAAGUAAAUGAAUUUUAAGGAAAUGUAAACACCAUAUCGCCCAGAUAGUUGUCACUUACGCCUUUAUGCAACUAGUCAUGGGAGGCCCAGUCUUUAAUCAGCCGGUACAUCUCAAGAGAAGUUAGGAUGUGGUUUCUCGUGCCUGCAAGGCUUGAUGGUUUUGCCAACAUUUUCAAAGUCGAUUAGGGUGGGGGAGGCUUUUGACGUAUCCCUCUCAUCCUCGAUUAUUGUGUUUUUUAGGAACUGUGGGCCUCACCCCUGUUUCCGAAAACACGUGGGCAGCAAGAAACUUAGGAAGAAAGUAGAGUAAUGCAAGGAACUUGACUGAAAAUUUUCUUAGUUGUAGAUGCAAGUACGUGGUAGUUUCUAGUGUACAUAAAAAUGUGUUGUGCCUAGUUCUAUGUGCUGCCUAAACCAAAAGGCAGGCCCCGGGUUCGAGGGUUCUAGGUAUGAGGGCUCUCGCGACGCUCGCGGUCCAGUGACCGUGCGGCCGCCGCCGACCGGAUCUCGCUGCUCUGGCCUCCUCCGCCUCCGUCGGGCCUUGAUCCAGAAUCAGCGAGAUCUUCUCCCUCACCUGCCCUCCUUCAACCCUGCAGUCAGCAGCCUCCGCCAUUAGGUCGUGUGGCGAUGUGAGCAUGAGCUCUUUGUCGACGUCCCGGCCUUCUCCGGCGGCGGAGUCCCCGGCCUUCACCUCCGUCUCGCCGCCCAAUGCUCUCGGAGACGUCCACUGGCCGCUGAUGUCUCAGCUCGUCAUCCCCGCUUGUGAGGGCUCCGUUCUGGAUCUCGAGAUGCAGCUGCCUCCUCCACCGCACGCCUUCGAGGUCACUUUGGCCCCUCCGGAGCUCCUGCUGGAUGGGUCACUGCAGCCUGUGCCAAGCCCCUGCUCGGUUGUCACGACCGUUGCGGUUGGGGAGGAGCCAUCUCUCCCUUCGGGGCUUGCUCCGGCGCGGCCAAGCUCCCGGAGCUCCAACGAGGUGCUCGCCCCCGACGCCGUUUUGCGGGCCCCGCAGCCGCCGCUGGCCGUGUCGUGGGCUUCCCUCGCCGACGACACCUGCAGCAUUGAAGGUGACGACGAGCUCGCCCCACUGACGCCAUUGGCUGCCAGGUGCUCCAGCGGGGUGAGCCAUCCGGCUGCUGCUGCUGUUGUCGCUGCUGCUCCUGAGGCGUCUUCAGAGCAGGGAUGGGUGAAGGUUGGUGGCCGGUGUCGUCCGGCGCCGCCGGCCUCGGUUAUGGCUCCCCGGCCUAUCCCUGCUUGGCUCCGAGUCGCUGCUGCAGAUGCCUAGCCUCUGGGCACCGUGCGGCAGUCUACAGAGAUCCCUUCUGAUGCUGUCGUUGUUUGCAGAACGGUCAUCGUGCUCGCGACUGCCACAACCCAUGGCGUCCUCUCUGCUCGCUGGCAUGUCUUACCACCCCGCCCGUCUCUCGCCUCGACACCCAGCAUCGUCAACCUCCUGCUCCAAGAGAGGGCCGAAUGAAAUCCACGCUCCCUUCCAUUGCGAUUCGUCGUGGAUCUUGGGCGUCUGUGGUUUCUGCUUCCGCUAGCCCGACAUCCCCAUCCAAUGUGGUGCUUCAGAUCGCUCUGGCUGACCAGACUGAGUUGCUUCAAGGUUGGCAGGCACGAAUUGAGAGCUUCCUAGAGCGAGCGGAGGUUGCUUUGAGCAGGCUCUCUCUUGUGCCGACUACAUUGCUGGCCACGCAGACGCCACAACCUCUUGGUGUGGCCGUUGUUGACUACAUGGAGGACGGAGGGGCAGAGCCCUAUGGUUGUUUCUCCCCCUCGUGUUCGGGAAAAUUCAUCGUCGAUGUCUGCACCGUCAAUUGUGGUGCCUACCGUUGUGGGUGACUCCAUUGCCGUGCUUGCGGCUCUGGUGCUGCGGCUCAUGCCCGAGCUUCGAGAUAUAUGUUUGAGCCCUGCUUCACCUCUGUCAUUGAAGCGGUUGGAGGUGGACUCAUUGGCGACUUUGUGUGAGGGACAUGUUUCGCCUCUGUCACGUGAGCAACUGGAGGCGCCGAAGUCCAUUAUGUCUAUGGUUCCUGUGGUGGAGGAUGUCAUGUUGGGGGUUCCUCGGGUCGACGAUGUCGAUGCGGAUGGUUUGUUGGUGUCUGCCCCCAGGAGCCCCUUGGUUGACGAUAAUUACAUCAAGAAGUACAAUGAAUUCUAUGACUUUCUUGACAAAUGGGUGGCUGAUCAAUCUGGAUCUGGCAACACAAAUGGAUGCCUCCUCAAGAAGAAACCCAAUAGGGAGAAAGCAAAGAGAAACAAAAGCAAGAAGGGCGGCGUUAUCUGGAAGGUGCCCGCAAUUUCAUGAUGGAGAGUGCUUUGUUUUUAUUGUCGUCGGUGUUCUUGUGUGAAGCUCCGUUGUGUUGUGCAAGUGUCGAAGGUUGCGGUUGUGGUGCACUGGAAGGGCCACAUGUGCGGUCACGGUGUUUCUUGUUGUGUGAGUAGUACGCCUUUGGGUUGUUUGUAACGGUUUUCGCCCGGUUUUCCGAAAAUUAACUAGGCAAUUCUCUUCUUCUUAAUUAAUCGAUGAGGCAAAUCUUUUGCCUCCGUUUCGAAAAAAAAUGUGUUGUGCGCCUUCGUGGUAGUAGUCCUGUAAGUGUCAUUCCCGGGCCCUAUAAAUGAAGACAUGCAAUCUAGCUUAAAAAACCACUAGUAGCACUGCAUGAGCAACAUCUCUAGUGUGUGUGCACGUGAGUGUACAACUCUAGUGUUCGUCUGUCUUAAUAGAAACUAGAUCGGCAACGCGCCUUGGCGCGAGGGUGCCGGUCCCAAUGAUAUGGUCAAGUGUUGGAAGAUCAAACGGCAUGAUGCAUUACUUCGAGGCAAGUUCAACACAUGUAACAUGAGAACCAAUUAUUUCACUCUGUACCAGAAGAGUAACAUCAUUAAGUUCAACUGUUCAACACGGCCACGACCACCUCGACCCGCCGCUCACUCUUGUGUUGCAGCAGGGUGCUGCAUCCAAGAAGGAGCAUGCUACAGCGGCUCCUCUCGACACUCGGAAGGAUGCAUCUUACACACAUCCCGGCGAUGGAGUCUCACUUCUGCACGAGAUCAUGGUCCUUUGAUGCGGCCUAGUGGGGAGGCAACGAUAGCUCCGUCCGCCACUCUCCUCUCGAGGAUGGCGAGAGGCAAAGCUCGAUGGGGAAUGUAGUGGCAGCGACGAGCUCAGCGACGAAAGAGGAACUGAGAGGAGGGGCGGAAGCACGGUGACGGUUGCACGAUGGGGAGUGGCGGCUAGGGUUUUUUCCAAUCAGGGAAAUGUGGACCAGCAAGAAGAGAAGACAACCUCCUCACCCCUAUCCGUCUUGCAGCCAUCUACACGACACCACUUAGCACCCAACACACGAAAUCACAACUCUAUGGGCUUUGAGAAUUACCCGCGGUGGCUUCCUUGUUUGACACUAUUUCAAUCUACAAUGCUCAACUUUGAUCCUACGACCGAGGUCAUCCAGGAGGCAGAUCCGAUGGUCGAGAACUCAUAAAAAAACACCCGACAGCCAGGAAUUUCUAAACUCCGAGGAGCCAAGGAUUCUCCCAUGAGUCUUGUGUGCGGCUUGCCACACCCCACCUGUGUCAUCAAUAUCCAACCUACUAAGAUAUGGUUUAUAUUCCGAAGGUUCAGAAAAAACUAAAAAGAUCCAGAGCGCCAAAGCCCAUUGCAUGCAAGUGUUGCCCAAAGGAUGAAGGUUCAGUAUGAUAUAUUGAAAGAAAGCCAUAAUUGAUAAUUCAUCUCACUAUUAUCUCCGGAUGAUGAGUCACUGAAAUAAGAACAUCCAUCAUAGCUACACAUUAUUCUGUCCUCAUCCAGAAUUGUAUUCAUUGGAAUUUUAUGACAAACUAAAUAUUUUCAUCAAAAGAAACUGUAUAAAAUUCCAAACGAUGGUCUUGAAAACUGCAUAUAAUUCAAGGUGCAUCCUUAUUCUGAUAAGGAUGAAAAAUAAGUAUACACUGAAACUCUUGUAAAAUACAGAUGACCAAAAUUAAAAGAUAUCAUAGAUACACGUAAUUCAGUCCUCACGACACAGAUUGUGUUCAAAAAGAAUCUCUUUGAUCUUGCAGCAAAAUAGAAUUUCAUACCAGUAUAAAACAAGGGAGGAAGAGAGACUAAAGUAACAAACCUAAAUAUAGCAAUAUAUUUUCAUAGCAGUAACAACCCAAGCAAUUAAAAUUUCACACUACAAUAAGAAAUCAUAAGCAAAAAGAAUUUUACAACAGAAUAGGAGAUUACAUAUAGGCAAGAGUGCAAUAAGCAGGGGGCAAGGGAAAAGCACACAUACCUAUCUGGCAGUGUGGUGUGGGGUGGCAGGGAGGGCGACGACGGCAGCGGCGGUGGUGGCAACCAAGGAGGCCCCCGUUGGUGUUGUUGUCGGCGAUGUUCUUCUUUUGGUCUAUCUCGAUGGCAUGCUCCACACUGCAAAGUAGUUGCGCGAGUAGUGGCCUGCACAACCCUCUCGGUGAUGGCAAGGAGAGAGCCGGUGAGGGACACAACAGCGUCCUGCAAACCAAGAUAAUGGGAGGACCAGUUAGAGGGACAUCCCAAAAUGAGGUAGCAUUUGACAACACAAACUUUUGAAGCCCUUCAACUACACCAAAUGGAAUCAAAUGAUGAUGCUAAGCACCAUACCAUGAUCGGGAACAUGGUUCUGGUGUUGAUGCACAUUGUAGCAGAAGUCACCACUGCAUAGGUCUAGACCAAAAAAAGCUCUUGCUUGGCCACUCGGAAACGUCACCACCCAACCAGGCUGCUCCUGAAGAAAGAAACCCAAAUCAUAGCUACAUCAGUCGAUAUCACACAAUGAGAUAGUUUUAAGAGUACUCUAAUUUUAAUAGAAGUAGUGUUCAGAUAGACAUAUUCAGCAACUCUUAAUUUUAAUAGAAAUAGUGCCCAUAUCUAAGUUUGGAUUGUUCAACGGGCACUCUUAAUGUAUGUUUUAUCAUGGUCCAAAUGAAACAUCGAUAUAAACCAUAUAACCAAAACCAUUUCGUUUUCUAAAAGUUAUAAAGAGAAGGAAAUGGCUACCCUGUUACAAUCCAUCAUCUCAUCAUGGAACAAAGAAUAAAACAAAUUAGAUGCCUACACCGGAUAGUAUGCACGUUGGCUAUACCAAAUCAUUAGAGACUAAUUUUUUUGAAAGGAUGAAUAAGAAAAACAGUACACCAGUGUGAAAAACAGAACACAUGUGUAGUUGGAGAAAAUCUAGCGUUACAUAAUAAUUGAGUACUCCCUCUAUAAACUAAUAUAAGAACUUUUAUAACACUAAAGUAGUCAUCUAAAUGAUCUUAUAUUAGUUUAGAGAGGAAGUAGUUGCUAAGAAGUUUCAGGUUUAUUAAUCACACAGCUAAGCCUGCCUUCAUAAAUUGUCCUCCACCAAAAUACUCUUGCUUUAGGAGAUUAAAAAGGAUAGAUGUCAAUUAGUGGUGAUCCUGCCUGGACUGCAUGAUACACCACCUCAUUAUUAUGGUGCUAAGCUGAUUUCCAUGCAAUGGUCUCAGUUCUUAUAAUCCUCUAAUCUUCAAGUAAAAAAUAAUGCAUACAUAGUACUGAUGUGAGCAAAUGUCUCCAUGCCAGCUCCCUCCAUGGGGAUAAUCUUGCACAUGAGGUCACCUCAAGCAAUGUAUUGCCACCAGCAUAACUGAAGCACUUGUUCAUGGCUUUAGUUAUGAGAUAUGCCGUUAGCUGAGAUAGAAAUCACAAAUAGGUCAGCUCACAAUCUAAAGAAUAUAAUCUUAUCCAAGAAAAUAGUCAUCAGCAUCAAAGCUUUAUUUAGUUCUUUACUAAGAAAGCAAACUUACAAAUUACAGCCCAAACAGAUAAAUAAAUGGUUCAGAAUAAGCAGAGGUCAAGGUACUUACAGUGAGUGGAGCACAACGAGCUAGACGUCGUUCCAGCGAGAUUGAUAGGGUCGGCAAUUUUGAUUUGCAAGUUUCGGCCGAGGGGCUUUAUGGCACAGAAGAAGGGCGAGCACUCUGUGGCAGCAAGCUGCGUCAGUUCUCCAACCUGGCAAAUCACGACUGCUACUCUGUUCUGCUGUUCGUGUUGGAUGACGAAGGGGUGAAGACUCGGACGUGGUGGGCAUGGACUGCAGCACAAAUUCGACAGCCAACAUCGACGGGACCACAUCUCUGAAGUAAAAAAAAUUCACAAGGUCAGGUUGUAACUCGACAGAAGUGAACAUAAGAGCAAACAAAACAUGUAGACAUUAAAAUUGAUUAAUUUGUAUUCUGUCUUGUAUCACUUUGGCCAUCACUUUAAAACGAUUUCCCUUCGACCAUAGUAGUACUUGACUUCAAAGAACUAACACUAAUACAAUCGGAUCUAUGUAGUUUGGAUGAACACCAACACAUUUAAUUAUUCGUUUAACAUCUAAUUGAGAUAAAUUUAAUUUAGACCUAGAGAUCAAAUAAGAUUAAUUAGAGCGCCAAGUGAGCACAACACCAGCAAUCCUCCUCCAAAACCAUGACCCAAAUGGUAAGAAUUUUAUUGCUUUUUCCUCCUCAUUCUGGCAAUCAUUCAUAUUUCUUUCAGAAUUAAUGAUCACAGGGGAUUCUUUCAGAAUUAUUCAGAUUUCUUUCAUAAUUAAUGACCCCAGGAGAUCACAGAAGAAAAACAUAUGUACAUCAUUUAUGUAAUAUACAUGAAAGGCAAAAGUUCAGAAUGAUACAGUUGUAUCUUAUUUACCUUGUAAGAAAAUGGAGUAUCAGCUCAAAUAAUACCCUGAAACCAUUGCCAUGUCAGGAAUGGCAGUCCAGUAAGAAUUAGAGCAUUCUGUAUAGAAAGCUUUGAACAUUGAAUUGGGCCAGAAAUAGCAAACUAACCAAUAUGCCCACGCAAUGCCGCUCCGACCACGGCCUCUCCUGCCCCACAUCCAUGUUAUGCUCCCUUCCCCAUUGUUUCUCUCCUUCCCCCGACUUUAGCGAGCCCGCCGAGAUUGCCACGCUCGUCAUCUUGUGAAUCAGUUUGAUCCAAGAAUCAAGAUCACACCAUUAAAAAAAGGAGAUGCUCUCCAUUUUAGUGCACACAAGCGUAGAGCUUCAAAUAUCUCACCUUCAUGAACCAUAAAAACAUUACUUGACUGAGUACAAAACAGAAGAGCAUAACAUCUGCAGUUAAUCAAGAGAGUGGGGCUACUAAUAAGCAUGGAUUUUCAUGUACCAAAUGAAGAUUCUAGAUUUAUUAACUUAACAAAUUACCAGUCCUAAAGGUCGAUGCAGGUGCAUGGAAACACAUUCCUUACAACAAUUGUCCUGAUGCAGAAAAACUCACAGGUAUCAGUCACAGUACAUGAAGACAGAAGCAAUAAAAAAUAGCAGUAUAAAAGGAAUCUUGAAAAUCCAUUAUAAAGGAAGAAAAUUUGGUCAUGAAUGCACUGGUUGCAGCUUUCGUGCUAAUUGUCCGUUGUUGUGACAAAUAAAGAUAAUGGCAUAUUCAAAAUGAGAGCUAAAAUUAUUACUGAUUUAGUUCUAAUUCCAUAUAGUAAUUAAAAUGAUGCGGACUACUUGGCAUUUUAGGAACUGGCCACUGGAAAUAAACCCAUAGGGUCUCGGGUAUUGGUUGUCGGACAUUAUUUCUACAUAUGACUUUUCAGCAAAACCAAGAUAUCAUCAACCAUUACUCCACUAAACAGAUAGGUUAGUCACCUUUAGGACAGAUUGUGGUUGCUUAUGUGUGUCAACAAAUUACAAUUUCAUAUGCAGGAGUGGGUCAAUUCAAGCCGUUAGCAAGCAGUCACAUGGCUGAUUAAAAAAAUAUAGUUAUGUCUAACAGAAUUUUUAUGGACCAACUAUACUCAAUCCACCAGUCCAGGCUAUGGUAUAUCUAUCCAGCCUAAAUACUCACAUAUAUCAGCCAUGAGUGGAAGUAGUUGACAACAAACUAUGAUCCUAGAAAGUACGACUAAAAGUUUGUCUAUCAAUGUAAAAACAAAAACACAUUUGUAGAUCAGCAAACAGAGGAGAUGCCAACAGUGAAGUAAAACUUCAUCAAGAAUCAUAUUUUCAGGGGAGAACAAAUAGUGCAGACCUUGCAGUAUAACUGUAAAAAGUAUUGCUAGGAUGGCUGAAGACAGUAAAAGCCUGAAACUUGCCAAUUGUAAACAAACACGAAAGCAAGACACAUCACAACAGAAGUAGUAGUACAACUCCCAGAUCUCUGGAACAAUUUUCGCUUUGUUAUAUUUUUGCUCCGGAAAUAUAGUCAAACCCUCACUUCUAGCAGCGCAUAUAAGCAUAUCACUGAGAUAGCGAGGGAAAUGGCGGGCAAAGGAGGGAGCUCAGCGAGAGGAGGAAAAUGGGGAACUCACCUUGGCCUUGGGACCGCUGGUUGCUGCCAUGGAAGAGCUAUGAACCAUGGAGCAGUCACGUACGCGUCUUUGAUUGUUUGUUGCUAUAAUAUACCAACAAUUAGUACCCAAAAUAGAUAUUCUAGAUGGAGACUCUGCAAGUGCACUUACCUUGUCCAAGUCCAAUGCUUUAUGGCUCAGAAUUCCGAUAGUAGACCAAGUUCCAUCAACCUCCAUAAUAACCAAAUCACCGAAUCCACUAUCUAUCUUAUGGUUGUUUUCCAAUAUUUUUGGCUCCUUGUUCUCACACAUUAUUUGUUACAGUCAUCUACUCCCUCCGUUCCUAAAUAUUUGUCUUUCUAGAGGUUUCAACAAGUGACUACAUACGGAGCAAAAUGAAUGAAUCUACGCUCUAAAAUGUGUCUAUAUACAUCUGUAUGUGGUAGUCCAUUUGAAAUUCCCAAAAGACAAAUAUUUAGGAACGGAGGGAGUAUGUUUUUAACAGCCACUACCUGCAAAAUAAAACGGUCACAUUAGUUGCCCUAUCAGUUAAUAUUGAGACAGAUUUACAUGCAUACUCACCUCAUGCAUUUCCAAAGUUGUGCAGUUAUCCACUCCUUGACCGCUAAUUAGAAACUGGAAUCUGGUGACAGAUGAGACAACCAAAUUAAUCUAGCAUUUAAGAAUGGCGCUUUGAUUCACAGAACUGCAACCACAAUAGGCAUAAAUCUCCACUCUCUUCAUCCAAUGAUCAAUCCAGCUACCAUGCCUAGCUAUGCUGAUGGUGAUCAAAUUCAGAACCCUCAUCAUCUCCUAGAAGCAGAAAAAAAAAAAUCAAACAGACGCUAUAUGCACGGAAGUUUUGGCAAGAUAAAAGUUUCAGGCCUAAAUAUGCUUCCCUCAAACUUUGUUAUUUCUGAAAAUCUGCAUUUUACAUUGAAUAAAUAUUACAGUACACGACUUAUCACAGGCAGAGAGGAGUGCAGAUGAGGGGACGGGGCUGAGCUAACCUCUCGGCAUAGUGGAACAGGCAGAGGUAGAGGUAGACAGGACGAGCGUCUUCAGCUCAAGCGACUGCACCACCGCGUUCUUGACCGCCUGCACAGCAAGCACACACGCGCGCAAUUCAUUCGCCGGAAUCCGGGUGAGAAGACACAAGAAGAGAGGAGGGGGACGGACCUGCGCGAUGAGGGCGAGGAGGUGUAUGAGCACGUCGAAGUUGUCGUCGUCGGAGUGGGAGGCGAGGAGCACCGAGACGGCAGCGUCGCCGUAGAGGUGUGCGUUCGUGGCUCCGUGCCCAUCCGCACACCAGCCGUGAUGCAAUCCACUUGACCUUGACGGAUUUGAUGUGAAGGAGACGGGGACGGCCAGGAUCCCUUCGUUGCCGCCGGCGUCAGCGGCGAGUGUGUCGAUGGUGAGGCUGCCGCUCGCCACCUUCCGGUCGCCUUCCGGUGCGUGCGGGAUGUGAUUCCACUACUGCUGUGGAGGCAGCCGUCGGGCUGCUCCUCCUGCCAGAGGAGCAGCCGCGGGAGAUGCGGACAGGAGGGCGGGCCGUGGCGAUGGAGAUGGCGGAGCGCUCGCCGCCGCCGUGCUCGUCGCUCGUCGCCGUCGCCCAAGGCCUGCUAUUGUGCCACCUUGGCCUGCCGCUGCUGCUCCCCGCCGCCGCCACCGUCGUGCUUCGCAUCCUCCCUCCGCUGCUGCUCGUCGUCGUUGGAAGGGGGGCUCUACUGCGGGGAUCUGGCUGCCGACGGCGCGGUUCGAGGCGGUGGGUGGCGGCAGCGGCGAUGUGGGUGGGAGGAGGGGAGGCGCGUGGGAGGGGAGGGGAGAGGAGGCGCGCGCGAGGGGAGCCGACUAGGGUUUUUUCCCACGGGAGCCGCCCCUUUUAUACCACCCCUCAGCGAAAUGACCAAAAUGCCCCGGUGGGGGCACGAUAAUUACGCGUGGUGGCAUGAACGACGAUAACUAUUCAUUCCAUCAGUAACUUUUUUUGAUCCGACGACGAGGUCGCUCCAGGGGUCGAUCCGACGGCCCAGAUCGGAUCAAGGCACUAGAUCCGACGGCCAGGAACCCCAAGCGGCUGAGGAGCCGGGAGGUUCACUGGCAUUCUUAUUACUCGAUAUUUCUCAGAUCCACUUCGUUCGAUUCUGGGAGAUCUAGCUACUUGAUAGUUAAGGCUAAGAGCAUCUCCAGCCGCGCCCCCAGCACCCCCCCUCCAAGGCGAUUUUUUUGCGCCGACGCCUAAAAAACGGCUCAGUCACGCCCCCCGGAGCCCAUUUUUUGCCGGCUUGGACCGAAAUUAGCGCCGGCGGACUCAGGCCGAACCCGGCACGCUGGGGGGCGCCCCGGGGCAAGCGGUUUUUUGCGUGAAAGAGCUGCGGGCCUGCCGAGUCAGCGACGAGCGCCUCGUCGUCAUUGAAACGCCUCGGUUUCCCGCGUGGAAUCAAUGGCAAGGCUGCCGCCGGUCAGCCUUGCCAUUGAUUCCUCACGGGCGGCGCGUCACGGGCGGCACGGCGAUGCCUCCCCUCCCGCCACGCGUACACACGGCGUGGUUAUAUAAGCCGGUGGCCUCCCUCGCCUCUGGCCACACCAGCCCACACCCGCCCAUCGACUGCCGUCGAGCUCUCCCUCGCUCGGCCGUGCGCAGCCGCUCGCCGACGUUUCUUCCCUUCCCUCUUCCUCUCUCCCGAGCCCGAUGGCCGUGCGAUUCCCUGGCGACGCGGCGACGGCCAACAGCUUCGGCCGCCGCUCGCUCCACGAGUGGGAGGCCUGGCUACUCUUCAAGGCGAAUAUCCCGACGCCACCAGACAUGCGCACCGGGCCGACGGGGUGGAGGCUCAGCAACGGGGGUGUGCCCAUUCCCCCGGUGCCCGACGUCGAGGCGCGCCCCGCCUUCUUUGCCGCCGAGGUCAACCGUGUGCGAGCUUCCCUGACGGAGGAGCAGCUCGCCCUCCCCCAGUACACCGCCGACAACCACGCGUCAUGGCGGCGUACUUCCAGCACCAUCGUGGGCGGUGUCCACCAACGGGGCGCCGGUGGUGGGCGGCGUCAAGAACGGCGAGGGGCGCCGUGUAUGGUGGGGCGCCCUGGGACGCAUGCUCCACGACGUGCUGGAGCACCUCGAGGGCGGCAACAACCCGCCGCUGGCAUACCCUGCCACGGCAGGCGCCCCGGUCCACCGCCGGAGCGCCGGGCAAUGGAUACCCAGGAGGUUCGGUUCCUCCUCAACUUCCUCCUCCCACUCCUCCUCCCGCUCCUUUUCCCAUUCCUCCGGCUCACCGGCGGUGUUCAGCGUCAAGGCCGAGCCUGCAGCGGAGACGCCGCUCGGCCAAGGCACUCGCAGUGCCGACAUCGUCAUAAAUGAGGGUGGCCGGCGUGCCUCCUCCUCGGCUCCUCUGUGCUUCGUCAAACCAAAAACAGAGCGGGGGCUCGCCGUCGUGAAAACGGAGCCGGGGCUCCCCUCCGCAAAGACGGAGCACGGCGCCGGGGAGCUCGACGAGGCGGCGGCCCUGAAAUGGGCGCGCGAUGACUGGGUGCACAUGGAGAUGGAGCGCCAGCGCCACGCCCUAGAGCACUUCGAAAAUCGGCGCCGGGGCCGCGACGAAGGAGGCGUCGCCGUGACAACCACGGCGCGCCGCCACCGCCACCGGUCCGCUAAGGCGACGCCGGGCAGGGGUCCAGCAGGGGCGGCCGCGUCAAGGAGGAGAAGGCCGCCGACGACGACGGCGAGGAUGGCGGCGGCGGCGGCGACUUCACCGUGCUCAGCGACUUCUUCGGCCCGUAGUUGUAGUUCCGGCCUUUUUUUAAUAAAUUUGCUAUGUAAAAUGUUGAAUAUGUCUAAUAUAUGCCAAGUUAGCCGAAUUUUAGCCGAACUUUGUCGAAUACUAUUUUUUUACAUAAACGGCGUUUGGGGGCGGUCCUGGGGUCGGCGGCUGGGAACCCACUCGCCCCCAGGCCGAUUUUUUGCGCCGGGGCGCCCCAUGCGACGAUUUUACGCGCCACCUGGGGGGCCAACGGCUGGAGAUGCUCUAACGCUUGAUAUCAGAGGCGGGUUCUAGCGACCAUGUCUGGCAAAGUGACCCUCAGCUCAAUGGCCUUGGGUAAAACAACCUCGAGCAAUGCAACCCCAAGUCCACUAGCUCUAAGCACAGCGAACAUAGCAGCCCUGCGCUCACCAACCAUGGAUACCCCAAGCGAGGUGUUGCCAGUGUAGUUUGCAACUCCACCGACAACACAGUCAGACUAGCUCGACGUCAAUGAUAGUAUCGGUGCCCUACACCGUUACCAUCAUAUCGAUGACCUUCUCACUGAGCUGCCAUAAUUGGUGGAGAAUCUCGAUGACGAUGAGGUGCCGCAUCUGAUGGCCGGCGAGGAGCUGACCACGUUCGUCGAAGUAGAAUGUGAAAACUACUGGCGUUGCUCGAUGCUGGAUGAUCUGUCGUCGAUCGACGACAAUGCUACCUGGACACUCACCAUGCUGCUUGAAGGGCAUCGAGCUAUUGGGCUCAAGUGAGUGUUCAAGGUAAAGAAGGACGAGCAUGGCGUCAUCAUCAAGAACAAGACCCGACUCGUCGCAAAAGGGUUUGUGCAAUGCACAGGGAUGGACUUUGAGGAAGUCUUUGCACUUGUGGCAAGGCUUGAGUUCAUUCGAAUAACCCUUGCCCUCGCGGAACAUCAAGGCUGGGAGGUCCAUCACUUGGACGUCAAGUCGGUGUUCCUUAGCGAUGACCUCGAGGAGGAAUUCUAUGUCUCCCAGCCACCUAGCUUCAUCGUCGUAGGAUGCGAGCAGGGCGUGUACAAGCUACACAAGGCUAUGUAAGGUCUCCAGCAAGCACCAAUGGCGUGGAACGCCAAGCUGGACGUAAGCUUGGCCUCACUCAGCUUAACUCAUAGCGCCUCCCGAGCACGGUGUGUAUGCACACGGGACCGGUGACACACCGCUCAUCGUCAGCAUCUUAUUCAUCGAUGGCCUCGUCAUCGCUGGUACCAAGCACAUCAAGGUACUCCACUUCAAGGAGGAUAUGAAGCACCACUUCAACUUGAGCGACCUCGGUCUGCUCCGGUACUAUCUUGGACUGGAGGUGAAGCAGGAGCAUAGUUGCACGAUGGUCACGCAAGCUGCCUACACCACCAAGAUGCUUCGAUAGAGCAGGAAUGAAGGAUAGGCAUGCCGUGCAAGCCCCGAUGGAGGCACGACUCAAGCUCAGCAAGGAGAGCCCCGAGAAGCCGGUGGACGUGACAUUCUACCGCAGCAUUAUCAAGAGCCUCAAGUAUCUCGUGCAUACCUGGUCUGACAUCUUGUCCGUUGUCAUGUACCUAAGCAAGUUUAUGGAGGCUCCAGCAAGUGACCAUCUCGCAGCCAUCAAGCACAUGCUCCGGUACAUCGCGGACAUGAUCACGCAGGGAUGGGUGUAUCGCCAUGACGGCGGCGAGAACCUGGUGGGCUACUGCAACAACGACAAUGCAGGGAAACUGGACUCCAGGAAGAGUACCUCUGGCAUGUUGUUUUUCCUCGGGAGUACGUAGCCCCAUCAGCUGCCAAUCAGUGAGGCAUAAGGUUUUCGCAACUCCUUCGUGUGAGACGGAGUACAUUGCGGCAACUAUAGCGGCAUGUCACGGAAUAUGGCUGGCUCGCCUCCUCGACGAGAUGCUGAAUUAAGACGCUGCUCAUCCGCUCGUCUUUGUCGACAACAAAUCUACAAUUUCCCUCUACCAGAACCCAGUGCUUCACGACCACAGCAAGCACAUCAAUCUCCGUAUCACUUCAUACGUGAGUACAUCAAGAAGGGCAGGAUGGCCGUGGAGUUCAUCAGGACUGGUGAGAAGAAGGAGGAUAUCCUGGCAAAGGCUACUGGUCGUGUCUUGUUCUUUUUAGAACAUAGACGUCAGGGACGUCCGGCUUUAAAUUAAUAAAGCCCACAACAUAGGCAGCGUGCAUAACAAACAAACCAACAUUCGGAACCACAAACUAGUCUCGCAGGGUCUAAGAGCACAGCACUUAAGAAAACGGCGGCGAAAUAUAGUGCAUUACAAGGCACAACCGGCCUAGCAAACGAGCACGCAGGCUCGGAGGAAACUCGACCAAAAGGGGUUGCGCAUCCCUAUGAGGCAGCAGACGCGGGCGAUGGAGCUCGAGACGCCGAGUAGACGGAACAAAGGCGUACAAGAGUUUGGCGAUGAAGAUCAGAGUCCUGUUGUCUUCCCAGCGGGGCCCAUUGCUGCAAGAACACGAUGCAUUUGAAGAUAACGUCAGCAGGGUGGGAGGGAAACACUCCCUCAAUAGUAAACUUGUUACGAGUAUGCCAUAGAGCCCAUAACAUGGCCGCCGCACAUGUCCACAUGACCCAGCGAGAAGGGCCAUGGACCAAGGACAGAGAGGACACCAACUCGGAGCGGGAGCGUGGAUCCCAAUCCACGCCCGCGGCCUCACGAACCGCGCUCCAGGCAAAAUGCGCCAAAGAGCACUGGAAGAAAGCAUGGUCCGCAUCCUCCGGGACACCACACAAAGCACAAGGACCGAAGGCGGGACCAUUGCGUUUAGCUAUAUUGAUAGAGGUAGGAAGGCGAUCUUGGCAAAGUUGCCAGAGGAAGACCUUGAUCUUGAGCGGAAUUUUAGCCUUCCAAAGCCCCGUGACAGCCAAAGGGACUUGACCGCGGGAUAGCUCUCUAUAGAGGGAAUUGACAGUGAAUUUGCCAGAGCCCGUGUCUUGUUCCAAGAGCUGCGUGACAAGGUCGGGACCGUCAACAUCCAACCCGAUCGACAGGGCUGAGGGGGACACUAUGGACUUCACCCCUGUCUCCAAACACGUGGGCAGCAAAUACUUAGAUGGUAACUAACUUAGGAAGGAAGUAGACUGGUGCAAGGAACUUGACCGGAAUUUGUUUUAGCUGUACAUGCCAGAGUAGUUUCUAGUGUAGAUAGGAAGAUGUUGUGCAUGUUCGUGGUAGUAGUCACGUAAGUACCAUUCCCGGGUCCUAUAAAAGGACAUGUAUCCAUCUCCUGUGAAGACAGGCAAUUUAGCUUAAAAACCACUGGUAGCACUACGUGAGCAACAUCUCCGGUGCGUGUGUGUGCAUUAGUGUACAACUCUGGUGUUCAUCCGUCCUAGUAGGAAUAUUUCUCUGAUCCACUUCGUUCGAUCCCGGGAGAGCUAGCUAAUUGAUGGUUGAGGCUAACAAGAACAACUAUGUGGAUAAUGUGGCCAUGUAAAAGCGUCGCCGAAAUAGGUAGGCAAGAUAGGUACAACAGGCACAAAGUAUUCGUCUAUUAGCCAAUUAUGACCGUAGACUCUAUUCCGGUGAAAUGUCAAACAACCCAUGUGCAAUCUCGCUCGCUUCAUCUUCGUUUUGGUUGACAGUAUCUAUUGAGCAACCAUCAACACAAUCGCAUCAUCUUUGACUGUCCAUCACCUCACUCCUAGACUCGUCGCUCGAAAACGACGAUGAAUCGCCAAUAAACUCCUUGGUCUCCAACUACCAAAAUAUAUGUCAUCUACACGAUUCUACGAGGCACUAGACUGGUAUACAUUAACAAAAUUUAAGAAAAAAAUACCUUCAGGCAAGUCGGCGAACACCUUUAAGUUGGGUGCCGGAGAUGUUGCAUGUGACACGGGAGAUGGAGUUGGCGACGACGAACGGUCGGCUCAUGACGCCGCCCUCCUCAGCAAUCCAUUAAAGGGUGGAUACAAGGUAGAGAGAUGCUUGCAUGGAUAUCUCAUGGCGCGACCAUGGUGGGAAGUAGAAACGGGGUGCGGCGAAGUAUGGUAGGUACGGGAAUGACUCGGUGGAGGUGAGUAGGGCCAAAUCAUGGUGGUUCGAGCAAAGGUGGCAGCAAACAGUGGUGGUGCGGAGAAGUGGGCGGCUGCGUAAGGAGGCGCACGUCCUGAAAUGUCUGUGGCACUAAUACUUUGGUCCAUGAAGGAAGCGCUAUACAUCCCCUCCACUUAUGGAGGCUCGCGAGCUCGAUUUAAAAUAUUUUGGUGGAUGAAGGGAGCGAUAUACUCCCCCCUCCAAUUAUGGAGGCUCGCGAGCUCCAUUUAAAGCAGCCUUGUGAAAGAAAGACGAUGAAGGGCGGAAUAACGACAUUGUCUCACUAUAGAGAGACCGAAUGUUCCCUCGCCUCAAGCGCUCCCUGAAUGAACCAACCCAACGCAGAAGGAGCAUUGGCUCGCUAGUGCUCGUAUUUUACUUUUUCUGUUUGGUUACUUUUACUUAUAUUUUAAAAUGCAAAAAUAUUUUACUUAAAUAUUUGAAAAUGUUCACUGCACAUUGGAAAAAGGUCAACACAGUGUGAAUGUUUCGUUCGCGCAACUUUUAAAAAUGUUGAUAGCAUUCAAAAAAUGUUCGUGACUUUCAAAAGUUGUUCAAGCAUUUCAAAAGUAAUGUUCGUGACAAUGUAAAAAAUGUUCACGUAAUUAAAAAAAGUUUCAUGCCAUUUGAAAAAUGUACGUGACACUUCAAAAAUUUCUUCAUGCUUUCCAAAAUAUGUUCAUGACAUUUAGGAAAACAUUUAUGCAAAAAAUAUAUGUGAUGUUUAAAAAACUGUUAGUACCAUUCAAAAAAAAUGUUUGCAACAUUGUAAAAAAAUGUUCACGCAUUUCUAAAAAUAUGUAUGUGGCAUUUUUAGAAAAAACCAUACAUUCUAUAAAAAUGUUUUGUAUCAUUCAAAAAAAGUUCAACAUACAUUUGAAAAUAUUUAACAUUAAUUCAAAAAAUGUUCAAGCAUGUAUUUGUGAACAAAUGUUGAUCAUUUACUUUAAAAAUGUUCAAUGUGUAUCAAAAAAUGUUACAUGUAUAAAAAAUGUACUACAUGCAUUGAAAAAGUAAACAUGUAUUUGUAGAAAAUAAAAAUAUAAAAACCAAAAAAAGGGUAAAGAAACACCAAAAAAAGAAAAACUGAAAACAAAGAAAAAUAAAAAUAAAAGAAAACCGAUAAAAAGGCAUCAUAACCGAAAACCGCAAGAAAAACAGAUGAAAACCAACACAGCAAGUAAAGAAAAAAAAAACUGGCUAAAAUCUUCUACCCCAGGAACUCAUAUUAGGCUGGCCCAUCUGUGCUACCAUAGCUCCUGCAGGAUGACGAUUCUGCUAGACCGGUUUUUUCAUCCAAAAUCACCAUACUUUUCUUUCUUAUUUUGUUGUUUUCGUCCAAAAUCAUCAUACCUUUUUCUUUUUUUUCCAAAAUCAUUAUACAGACGGUUAUUCUGGCUAUGAGACUGAUAUAUACUACAACUAUGUUAGAGUUGCUCUGACAUGCUGCUUGCAGAGCUUUCAGGUUUCUUGUAAUUAUUAUUUCUGUCUUGUAUAGAGCUUUUAGGCUUCUUGUAAUUAUCAUUUUCUCUCUUGUAUAAAAAAAUAUUGUAUAUCAUUGAUGUACUCUAAAAUAAACACAAGCGUUCAGCACGGACAUUUAGCUCCAGAACCAAAAAAGCAUGGCAGAAUGUGUGAUUACAAUGUCAUCGCAUUUUGAAUCCUACAAGACUGAAAAGAUAUUCGAUUAUUCGUAGGACAAAUACAGAAAUUCUUUCUGCAUAUGGCUCUUAGGCUCGUGCAGACGGCAUGUAUUUGUAGAAAAUAAAAAGGUAAAAACCAAAGAAAAUCAGUAAAGAAACACGAAAGAAAGAAAAACUGAAAACAAAUAAAAAUAAAAAUAAAAUAAAGAAAACCGACAAAAAGGCAUCAUAACCAAAAACCGCAAGAAAAACAGAUGAAAACCAACACAACAAGGAAAGAAAAAAACGCGGCUAAAAUCUGCCCUAUCUAAAUUCGCACACAUGGUAUAAACCAAGUAUUUUUCAAUUAGUUCCACAUGUUAUGUGCUGAAAAGAUUAUAAUAGCUUUAAAAAAAGAUUAAGACAUGUAUUAGAAAAUUUACAAAUAUCAUCAUGACAAGCAAAGUACAAUAAUAAAUAAUCAUGACAUACCGUUGUUAGCUUCCUUUGUUUGAGUUUCACCUUCACAUCAACUCCAUUAUCAAUUAUUCCAUGCAACACAACCUCAAUCUUUCCUUCAGUUUUGUCGCCUUUUCUAGGUGUAUAAAUUGCAUAGUGAAUAUCAUCCUCUAUCGCACGCCUCGCAAGUAACGUCCCAACCGCCACACAUGCCUUAAUACCCUUCCUUGAACCCAGAUCAAACUUCAUGUCCUUUGAUAUGGAGUGAGCCACGGACACAACCCUGCUGGUCAUUCGGUGAACGAAGCAAGCACGCACCCACCCCUUCGGGACAUGUAUGUCUAGGCAGAAAGGGUGGUGGUAAGGAUCAACCAUCUGGUUAAAGGUUGGCACUCGGUCCCUCUUCAACUCAACAAUGUCAUCCUUAUGAACUGCAGGCUUUGCUUUCAGCUUUGGAACCUUCAAACGGGCUGCAUUGUCAGGUUUCACCUUGCAAUCAGAUGGAUUCUUGGCAUUGGGUUUAUCUCUCUUCCAUCUGCGGUGCAAGGGCAAGUUAUAUUCCUCAAACUCCUUGGACCCUCCGUCCAGCUUGUAGAACAGCUUCUUGCGGUUCCUCGUGUCAUCUGUCUCAUCAUCCAAGCCGUGCACUUAUUCUUAUCCAUGUUCUUGGAAGUCAAGACACUCAACACCCGGCGUGGGGUCUAAGGAGAAGCCAAUGGAUGCGGGCCAGAGGUUGGAGUCAACAAUAUCAAUUUGGAAGCCGACGCCAAGUGGGAUGGAAUCUGAGCAAUGCAAGGUUUGGGGCAGAUGAAUUUGUGUAGAAGAGUGGUAGGACGGCAUGACCGAGGCUAUGUAUGGUAGAAUAGAGAGCGAGCGGAAGAUAUGAAGGAGCACUAACAGCUGCGAGGUGGCUGAGACCACUUGAAAGAUCGUGGAUGUCUCCUAGAGGGGGGGGGGUGUGAAUAGGCACUUUAAAAUAAUUACGGUUUAGACUUGAAAAAUGUGGAAUAAAACUAGUGCUUAAUUUGUCAAGCACAAAACCUAAAACAACUAGGUUCAUCUAUGUGCACCAACAACUUAUGCUAAGAAAGAUAAACAACUAAUUGAUAGCCAGAUAUAUAACAUGAAACACUAUGGCUAUCACAAAGUAAAGUGCAUAAGUAAAGGGUUCGGGUAAGAGAUAACCGAUCCAUGUGUAGACGAUGAUGUAUCUCAAAGUUCACACCUUUGCGGAUGCUAAUCUCCGUUUGGAGCAGUGUGGAUGCACAAUGCUCCCCAAAAUGCCAUUAAGGUCACCGUAAUCUCCUCACGCCAUCGCACAAUGCAUUAUGACGUGAUUCCACUAAGGGACCCUUGAGGGCGGUCACCGAAUCCGUACAAGUGGCAACCCUUGGGGGGGGGGGGUAGUCACCGAACCCUUACACUUUAGUAACCCUUGGGGGCGGUCACCGAAACCCGUACAAAUUGCUCGGGGCAGUCUCCACAACUUAAUUGAAAACACCGACGUUUGUCCCGGAGCUUUCCACCACAAUAAUUGAGCUCCGCGACACCAACAACCAUUUAGGGCGCCCAAGCACCCAAGAGGAACAAGCUCUAGGGUACCAACCAUCCAAGAGUAAUAAGCUACUCAACUUCACUUCCAUGUAUCACCAUGGAGAACUCAAACAUAUGCACCAAAUGCAAUGACAAGGGAAAACGGAGUGCCCACCAAUGGCAGAGACAACAGGGGACCAGCAAGGGCCAAGGCCCGGGCCAACAUGCCAAAAAAAAUUUAGAGCAGCGUUUUUUUCCAGAAGUUGUGUGUUAUGCUGUUCUGGGCCUUGUGGCCCUCCCUAACGGAUGAGCAACAAGAAAAGUGGCACAAUGAAUCAUGUACAAGGGUUGACUUUUCCCUAGUGUCAUUCUAUCCCAAAAGCCACCCCGGCUCCCAGCCACACGUGAUUCCUCUUCCCACCUUUCCCUUUCCUUGGUCCCCUGCGGUACAGCCUUUGCUCUGAUCAUCCAUGGAGAUAAACCACUAGCCCCCAAAUCUCCUAAAUCUUUCUAUUUGCUCUCUCUUGUGGCUGCUGCAGUGCCGCCGGCUGGCUGGACGACUCAUCUUUCUUCAAGACGCUGCAAGCACACAAGAAGAGGCAUAUAUUCUUGAUUUGAGAUCCCUCUUUCUCUGCCUCACAUAUCUGAAAUUUGUUCUAUAAUUUUUGUUUGCCUUUUCAAUUCUCUAAAUUGGAUAGUCUUAUAGUGGUUCGUGUUCAAUUCUUCUAGGGUAAUCGGUUGUCUCCAUGGCCAAAAAUAAAAGAAAGCUUGCAACACUGCAUUCUUUUUUUGAGAAGAAAAGAAGAACUGAUGUUCUAGAACAGAUUAAUUUGGUUGAUGCCCCUGCCUUGGUAAAUGAAGAAGAACAAGUAGAUGAACAAGAACAAGUAGAAGAAACUCCAAUAUCAACAGCACCACCUCAGAUUAUGAGAGGAAGAGGCAAUGAUGAUGCCGCUGUUUUGGUGGUAGAAAGAGAACCAAGUCCACGGUGCCAAAAUUCAGAUUAUCCUCCUAACGAUCAAGAAAAAGCUCGAAUGGCAUAUAUACAACAUGGGGCAUAUCAUUUUAAAAUGGAUGAGUAUCCUCCCGAUGAGUCGGUGACCCAUCCACGCAAGUUUCAGUAUCAUUGGUUUAAGAGCUUCCCUUGGUUAGUAUUCACCAGAUAAAGAUGUAGUCUACUAUUUUCCAUGCUUUUUAUUUUGUAAGAAGCCACUCGGAAAGAAAGGGUCUGAUGUGUUUAUAGUGAAAGGAUUCAAAAAAUGGAAGAGAGUUAAUGACGGAUAGAGAUGUGAAUUCUUAACUCACAUGGAAAAGGACAGUAAAUCUGCUCACAAUUAUGCUGCAAAAUGUUAUGAUAAUCUGAAGAAUAAGCCAUGCCAUGUGGAACAAUUACUGGUGAAGCAAACAGAAGGGGAUAUCAAAAGGAAUAGGUUGCGGCUUAGACUAACCAUUGAUUCAAUACGGUGGUUAGCAUUCCAAGCUUGCCCCUUCCGAGGACAUGAUGGAAGUCUUGAUUCAAAGAACCAAGGUAAUUUCCUUGAAAUGGUGAAAUUGAUAGCUUCUUAUGAUGAGGAAAUUGGUGCUGUAGUGUUGGGUAAUGCUCCAGGCAAUGCUAAGUACACAUCGCCUACAAUUCAAAAAGAACUUCUAGGUAUCAUUGCUUCUAACAUGCAAAGUGAAUUUCGAAAAGAAAUAGGAGAUGCUAAGUUUUGCUUGCUUGUUGAUAAGUCAAGAGAUGAAUCCAAAAGAGAGCAAAUGGCAAUAGUGAUUCGUUUUGUUGAUAAACCUGGUUUCACUCGUGAACGUUUUCUUGAUAUUGUUCAUGUUGUUGAUACAUCUUCGGCUACCCUAAAAGAAGAGAUAUAUUAUGUUUUGGUUCAACAUCAGUUAGAUGUGAACAAUUUUCGCGGCCAAGGAUACGAUGGUGCUAGUAACAUGUGUGGAGAGUGGAAUGGACUACAAGCAAAGUUCAUCGAGGAGUGUCCUUAUGCAUAUUAUAUCCAUUGUUUUGCUCAUCAAUUGCAGCUAGCUCCUGCUGCUACAUCUAAAGAAGUAGCUGAUGUUCACAACUUUUUUGAUCAUCUUGCCCUUGUUGUCAAUACGGUUGUGUCUUCUAGUAAGAAAAACGAUGAGUUGCAAGCAAAUCAAGUUGCUGAAAUGGAGCAUCUGAUUGAGCUCGGCGAGCUUGAAACUGGAAGUGGGGCUAAUCAAGUCGGAACUUUACAACGGCCUUGUGACACUAGGUGGGGUUCACACCAUGCUUCUGUUUGCAACCUUGUGAAAUUGUACAAACCAACAUUUUUGGUACUUAAAAGCAUCGCAACUUCUAAAGGAUCAGGUACUUCACCUUCCGCACGAGCAAAGGCUUCUGGUGUUGUUAAGUUGAUGAUGUCAUUUGACUUCAUAUUUAUUCUGCAUGUCAUGAAAGAACUUAUGGGAAUCACACACAUGCUAUGCAAAAAGUUGCAACAGAAGUCUUAAGAUAUUGUGAAUGCCAUGGAUGAUGUUAAGACUACCAAAAUGUUGAUCCAGGAGCUAAGACAUAAUGGUUGGAACAAGCUUAAAGUUGAUGUGCUUUCAUUUUGUGCAAAACAUGGAGUUCAAACACUGCCUUUAAGUGAUUUAUAUGUGGACUUCAUCAAUUCUCGUGUGGAGGACGAGACUACAGUUGAGCAUCAUUAUCGCCGUGAAAUUUUCAUGGUUGUUGUUGAUCAGCAACCAUAAGAGCUGAAUUGCAUAUUCAACAAACAAGUAACAGAGCUUCUCAUCCUAUGUGCUUCCUUGGACCCAAAGGAUUCAUUCCGUUCAUUUAACAUUGAUAAUAUAUAUUCUUUGGCUUCAAAGAUCUAUCCUACUGAUUUUAAAGAACAAGAAAUGAAUAAUCUUAGAUGUCAGUUACAACAUUAUGAGAAUGUUGUACCCACAAGCCCAAAUUUUCAGAAUUUGACAACUAUAUCGGAACUUUGUCGACAACUUGCAUCUAGUGGAAAAUCAGAUGAAAUAUUACUUAAUUGAUAGGUAUCUAAUGUUCUCUGCUGCUAGCCUGCUAUAUUGGUUUGAUUUAUUUAUUGCUAAAAUUACUAUCUACUUCUUAAUGAACAGACUCAUUCGGCUUGUUCUUACUUUACCGGUUUCAACGGCAACGACAGAAUGUGCAUUUUCUGCCAUGAAACUUGUGAAGACAAGGCUUCGGAAUAAAAUGGAAGAUGGAUUUCUAAGGGAUUGCUUACUAAUUUAUAUUGAAAAGGAGAUUGCUGUUGGAAUAGCAAUAGAUGCAAUUAUAGACGAGUUCGAUGAACCAACACGUCGAGUGGCAUUUAGUUGAAGGCCUAAAGCAACUUAGUUUCUCUAUCUUUCUAUUGUCUAGAUUUUUCUUUUGUGUGAUGUACAAUUCAAAAAUUGCAUAUCCGGUAGUUAUCGGCGAUGAAUGGUGGUGUAAUCAAUGAAAAAUAUUUUGCUAUUACAUCUGUUUCGCUAUUUUUUUUGGCAAAAAAAUUGUACAAAAGUGUUGUCCCCUUCAGUCGGCCCAUGUUAUACAUUUUUCCUGGCUUCGCCACUGGUGCCCAAGUCCUUCUCUCUCAAAUCCCACCCAACAACUAAUGCUAUGGAGGAAAAUGAGAGGAAGAAUGAAGAAGAGAACACAAAGAACUCCAAGAUCUAGAUUCAAGGGGUUCCCCUCACAUAGAGGAGAAAGUGAUUGGUGGAAAUGUAGAUCUAGAUCUCCUCUCUCUUUUUCCUCAAAAACUAGCAAGAAUCUUUGGAGGGAUUAAGAUAAAGCAAGCUCGUAGAUGGUCAAGAAUGGGGGUAAAACACGAGCUCAAAGGAUUAUGUCCAUUGGGGAAGAAGACCCCUUUUAUAGGUGGGGACAAAUCCAACCGUUCUGCUCUCAGCCCGCACACAAGCGGUAUUACCGCUUGGGGCGGUAGUUCGAGGUGUAUGAUUGAGAGAACGCAAGUCCAGGUGUGGUAGUGCUGUCGGAACGGUACUACCGUCCUCACAAGCGGUACUAUCGCCAGGACACAGAGAACCAGCGGUAGUAGAGGAAGGGUAGGACGGUAGUACAGCAUAAAGCGGUACUACCGCACCCUACUACCGCUCUACUACCGUGGAGGCUGCAAGGGACUACAGAAGCAAAGAGAUAAGCGGAAGUGUGACGAUAGUUGCCAGCGAAAGUACCACGACAAGUGGUACUACCGUUGGUAGGUGCGGUGGUACCGUCUGAAACAGUACUACCGUGCCCAAUUGCCGUCGAAGCGAAAUGAGUCCAAUAGUCCACAAACAAGCGGUACUGCCUGCGGCACUGGACUGCAGAAGUACCGAUCAAGCGGCACUACCGCUACCUAGAGUGGUAGUACCGCUAGAGUGCAAUAAAAUAGCCUAGGCAAAACAGAUGGAUGCAAGAAAACCAUAACUGCCAUAACUUCUGCAAAUGAGCUCUGAAUACAACAAACUCAAGCUUGUUGGAUAGAUCAUAGAUGACAACAAAUAAUAUCCAACAGCGACUGGUUAUAGAGGUAUGCCUAUGAUAUAGAGGUGUGAAACCUCUAUCAAUGAAGAACCGACAUAAACUCCAAUAUCGAAAACAUCAUAGAAGAUGCAUAUGAACUCCGUUUUCGAUGAACUCGAGCUUGUCAUGAAGAUGACCAUAAGCUCUAAACCUCAAAAAGAGAAACACCAAACAAGAACCAAGAAAGCUGAUGCAAGGAUGCAAUGGUUUGAGCUCUCUACGAACGAUACGAUCAAGCUACUCACUUGAGAGUCCCCCUUGAUAGGACGACAAUCGAUCUUACAACCCGGUCUCCCAACUACCACCAUGAGACCGACGGAAUAGGAAACCUAUCAAGGGCAAAAAAUUUCCUGGCACAUAGUCCACUUGAGCUAGAUGAUGACGAUCUUGACUUCCUCAAGGUGGACCACCUUGAUUGUGUUGGCUCGAUGAAGACUAGUUGAUUGCUCCCCCAUACUCCACUAUGGGUGAGCCACUCAUCAACACAUCUUCACAAGUCUAUUGUCACCACAAUGAACGACAAGCUUCAAGCAUGACCUCUUCAUGAUGCUUCACUUAAACUUGCACACCGCAAUCUUGAUGACGAUCACCACUUGAUGUCAUCCUCCAUGGGAUGCAUGAGAUCUUCCUCUUGACGCAAACUCAUGGAAACAUACCUAACCCUCACAUAGAACUCUCAUGUAGACCAUGGAUUAGUACACAAAAGCGUAAUGGAUAGUGCUUACCAUACCAUGGGAUCACUUAAUCCUUCUCGCUACAUCUUGUAAGCUUUGUGUGUUGAUCAACUUGAUUCAUUGUUUGACUUAGUUUUGAUCAACCUUGUAUCAUGUCUUCUCUCUAACCAAUCUUUAGAUAAUUCCUUGAAUAGCACCUUGGUCAUCACAUAAUCUCUUUGAAACCAUCAAAUGGACUUCAAGAAUGCCUAUGAAAAAACCCUUCAAAUAUAACUCAAGGCAACCAUUAGUCCAUAAAGAUUGUCAUCAAUUAUCAAAACCAAACAUGGGGGCACAAUUCUCUUCCACCACUGUUGUCGCGCUUGGAGAAGCAUGUGUCGUACUGGCAUUUGCGCAAGCACCCUACGGCUAAAAUGCAUCGAUACAGAUAAGUAUUAGGCCAAUACGCCUUUCGUAUCACUGGGAGCUACAUGCACAUGCAAUUUCAAUACCUUCCUAGCAUAUGUAUUGAAACAUAAAUUAAUUUUAACUUCAAACCCAGAAAAUGAAAUCUUGUGUAACAUUGCUAAUGAGCUUGACUAGGUGAAAACCAAAAGUAUGAUUGACUUGGCUAAUAGGGCACACAUAAUUGCAGGAGAAAUUAUAUGAAUAAACAAGAAACCAACAACUUCUCUUGUGUUCACAAUAGCAAAUCUGAGAAAAAGUUACAGAGAGGCUUGCAGCAUGGCAUAACACGAAAGGUGGAACCUGAAGAUCAAUCACCCAACAUGCAAAAGGAGAAACAACGCAAAAACAUUACCGACCAAUGCUCCUCCUCUUUCCAAUGCAAGUUUCUCGCAAUGGCAAAAUAAUGAAGAUACUAGCAGGUCAUUGUUUCCCUCAAGUUUUGGUUUCCUGACAGCAUUGAUCGACUAGUGACAGACAGCGAUGAGCUGUUGGAAGAUAUCAUCAGGUUCUCACUACCUCUACAACACUUGAUCCAGCGCCGACAAAGGGCAUAUGAGGGCAGGUGUUGCCGGCUCUGUUGCUCUCUUCAGAUCUUGAAAAUUAGUGUGUUAAUCAAGUGAAGCAGUCGGCGGGCUGUUGGUGAGGCGACUUGGAACGAUGUUGAAGUAUUGCAAGCAUGUGCACCGUGAGGUGAUGCUCCAACUAUUGUUUCUUCAGCUGUUACUAGAUCUUGUGUCUAAUGGCGAGUGCCUAUCACGUCAUUUAUAAAUCCUAAAAUGGCGAUAGCUUUUACAAUUGUCUCUUUUCUUUACAGUUUUUCUUUUUAGUUUUUACAGUUGGUUAAGUGCAACGUCCAUGCUCCGACAAGCGCAACAUCAGUAGCCCACGCGAAAUCCUAGCAUGAGCCUUAAUCAAUAGCGCACGUUAUAGAUCCGACGGUCCAUGAUAUGAGUUUUCAAGUUUUCAUUGAUCCGUCCGCUUUCACGUCAUACUUUUUUUACCUCCUACCACGAGACGAGAAGAGAGGCAAAGGCCGACUUGUCAACGAAACCAUGAUUCAAAAAAAAAAAAGUACUUUCUUAGUCCCAAAAAGCAUGCAGCGUGUGCCUCUGCAUUUUAUUACUUGUCUCUCGGUCAACAGCACGCCCUGACACGGCCCAGCUACGACGAAACACUCACCGCGCGACAGCCGUCGAUCUAUCGAUCUGGCGGACAAUCGUCGCGGCAACAAGAUUACAAGAGUGGAAAGCCUCCCUGUCCCAGUCAAACCAACUUCACCUGGAAAAAAACCGGGCUGGACCUGCCGAGCGCCGAUGGUGACCGAUCUAGCUAGCUGGACGUUAC